This 29-nucleotide small RNA is filed under the name Bombyx mori (domestic silkworm). RNAcentral's name for it is "piRNA piR-bmo-2053996". The record is from RNAcentral. Lineage: Eukaryota; Metazoa; Arthropoda; Insecta; Lepidoptera; Bombycidae.
UAGCAAAUGAUUAAACAUUCCUCUGAAGA